Molecule: non-coding RNA, 3553 nt
Organism: Pseudonaja textilis
Lineage: Eukaryota; Metazoa; Chordata; Lepidosauria; Squamata; Elapidae
Source: RefSeq, a predicted model, not a curated record
UUUUGCUCUCCGUCCAACCAGGGUUCUGAAGAGACCAUCCGGGUGGUGUCAAUGGACAGGGACUACCACGUGGAGUGUUACCACUGCGAGGAUUGUGGACUCCAGCUGAAUGAUGAGGAGGGCCGCCGAUGCUAUCCACUGGAGAGACACCUGCUCUGCCACACCUGUCAUAUCAGGCGCUUGAGCACUCAGGUGUCGGCGCACUCUCCCUCCGGGUACCCCAUGCAUAUCACGGAGCUCUGAGCCUCCCGCUUCCCCUCUGCUCAAGGCCAGGAGGAAGACACCUGCUGGGGAAGGGCUCAACACAAGAAAGACAAAGCAGCUGCCAUUAUUUAUUGCUCCUGAGAUUGGAAAGGAAGGGCCCCCUCCUGGGUUGGCUCUGUGUACAAUUUGCCUGAGUGAUUCUUUCCACGAUGCUGGUACUUGAAAAGUCAUGCAGCCCAUGGAUUGGAUGGGGAAAGGCCAGGAUGUCAGAGCUGUUGGGAUGACUGGCCCACCCAUGAAUGCUGGCUUGUUGCCAUUUUUACGGUUGAGUAUUUGAGCUCCCAGAAGAAGCAUUAGCUUUCCAACAGGAAAGAGACCAAAAGAUUUCCACCAUGUUUUAAGUCUCUUGCACCCUCUGACCUUGUGGUUCUCAGGCUCUGAGAGACACGGUGGCGGUUGCAUGCGUCAAAAGGGUGAUGGCCAAAUUGAAUGUGACUUAAAAAAGAAGCAACUUUGUAGGGGAUACCUGUGAGUGGGUGGCCUUUUGUUGGGUUUUUCUGCAAAACAAGAGUACACAAGACACCGUGUGCUGGAAGCCCAUGAAUGAAAGGACAGAGAGCAUUCCCAUGUCAGGCUGUGUCAGGCACGGUUGUUAGGGGUUUGGCGAGGACGUGGGGGUUUGGUGUUUCCAGCUAAGGGGAGAGCUGCAGGCUCACCAGGAAGACCGGUUACCUCACCGUAGCUUUGGGGGAUCCAACAGGCAGCAACUGUCUGCAGGAGAUCCUUGCUGAAAGCCGCGUUGCAGGCGGAGGGAAAGAGCACAGACUGCUCCAUUCCCAACCCAGAGGUUUUUUUUCUUAGAAUUCUUCUGCAGCAGACAUGUGAAUGCGUCAGAACGGGAAAAUUACAUACAAGUGAUACGAGAUUAUUCAUUAAAUUUAAUUCAGAUUUGAAUUCAGCCAAAUUGAGCUUCUGUCCCAUCCAUUUCUUUGGACCUGCCACCACUUAUAUUUUUGAAGGCAGUCUUCCCAGCACCCCAAAGUUCAGAGGCCGCCCGGCGCCCAGAACCGAUUCUGCCCAAACAACAGCAGAACCUGCCAGGGCCCAGGUCCACUGGGGUUGCCUGCAGAAGCUCUGCUAGUUGCUCUCUCUUCCCCAGUACAAGGAAAGUGGAUCCUGUGCUGCAGGCAAAGAAACAGGUUCUCUGGUAAAGAAGGAUCCUCCAACAUCACUUGGCACUUCUCAAAGUCACUGUUUUGAAACUGACUUAAAUAGCUUCACUUGGAGCUGCCUGCAGGAAGGAUCAAACAGAUAAAAAGGUUGAUUUCAGCUGCAUGGUGGUGGCCACUGUCUUGACUCUUGCCACCCCACUGUCACCACCUGAAGAGAUCCUGACCCCUGCAAAUGUACAACACACCGUUCCCUCGCUUUCGGUUUAAGGGACGGCAGUUCUGUGCUAUGACUUGCAAGUAUAGCGAUACUACUUCUGGAGGUAUUUUUAAAAAAACAGUUGCUUGUUUUUUACAACUUGGCUAUAACCCAGCUUUAAAGGCCAAGCUAAUGAUACUUGAAUCCACAGCACUUGCAUGAUGAUUUCCAUGGCCUCUUGACCAUGCAAAGAAUUUUUAGGUAGGUCACAAAACAGUUGAACAGUUUUUAAAAGUCUCAGGAAACCAUAGUCUUUUUUUUCUAGGCAUUUGGAUGUAAAGAAAUUGGCUCAGAUGUACAGCAGGGAAAUACCUAAUUUGGAGCAUAGAGGAGGUUUUUUUAAUUAGCAAAAAUUAAAACAUAAAAGAAAUAAUGUGUUACGUGUUAGAAGUCCUACACUUCUAUUUUGGCUAAACUUUUAAAGCACAUUUCCAACUCUGGGAAAAUCUGUGUUCCAUAUGGAAAAUGUUUACUUUUUCUAUUAAAAAAUAAGCUAAGUUUUGAUCAUUUCGAGACAAGGAGGUGCCGUUAAUGUAAUUAAAGCUGACCACAUCAAUUAUGCGCUUCAGGCUCAGCCAUGUUGUAUUAAUUCCUUGCAUACAUUGACCUUGAAACUGUUUUAGCUCAGCUCCUUCGGAUAAAACCACCUGGACCAGCCCUUCAUAAGCUGAAAGCUGGUGGUGCUCCAGCAACUUCAGUGAAAGUUCGCUUUGGGAAUCAGAUGGAAAUACACGCCUAAAUCUGUUUGAAAAACUGCAAAAAAGGCCCCUCGCGACAGAACAGCCAUCCUGACUUCCCCCAGACUGUCCCGAUAGUCCUGUCAGCUGCAGCAGGACCGUUUUCCCAAGUCUGAAGGGCUGAGAGGAGCAGGGAAGAAUCAGGCGAGUCAGUGCAAGAGGAAUGUAAGCAGCUCAAAGCCCCCGUCCCCGUCCCAUCAGAUCAGCCCUUUUAAGGUUGGUCCAGAUGGUCCUGUUGGCCUUUUUCGGGUUUUGAAGUUUCUAGAAAGUCACACUAAUUCCUUCGAUUUUCCUGCAAAGGUUCCACCUUUUUCCUCUUGCAGAUGGUUCCUUCUUGGAAAGUGCCUCUCAUUCUUUCGCUGUUGAGUUUUAUGGCAUCUUGAUUAUUUUACUGUCACGCUUGUCCGUUUCUACUACUGCCUUAAUCUUCCACAAAUAAGCCUAACAGCCAAAAUAUGUACACGGGCUGCUAUUUUUCAAACAUGCCAGGCUAUUCAUUUCAUUUGUCGAAAAUAUUUCAGGGGAUUACCUUUUUUAGAUACUUAACCUGGUGAUUUCCUUCGUAAACAUUUUGCUGUUUUUAUUUUUGUCUUCUCCCCCCAUUGCCAAAAUCUGAUCACAAAUCUGAAGAGGUCUCUUUCUUUCAAUGCCUUUUUUCAUUUAAAAAAUAUAGUCUUUAAAGAGAAUGCAGCUAGAAAGUGUCCUACAGCAACAACAAAAAAGAUUCUGCAAAAAAAUGUGAAACAUGCUACCUCCCAUCCGUGGUGGCUGAACUGUGGCACCCAGGGCCCCUGGAGGGCUGGGCUGGCCCUGCUCCAUAGAAAGAAGCCUGGUUGCUUUGCCCACGGGCCUCUUUCGCUGAACGCAGUCUGGAGGAAGGGCCCUUACCCACCAGCACUGCCCCGGGAAGCUGCCUGCCAGCCUUCCUCCUCGGCAGGAGGUUCUCCAGCCCAAGGACAAGGGGUGCUACACCAAGGGACGCCGGAGGGGGGAAGCUGCAGGCCAACACUGGGAGUUCGGGGCCAGCUCUCCGUUUCCUUCAGAGAAUUUGGCUCCACAGGGAUGAAGUGCUUUUAACAUUUGUGCCAAAAUAUUAUUUAUGGGAGAGCCUCCUUCCUUCCUUCCUUUUCACCUAUUCCUAUGCGCACGAGCGAGGAACCCGAGAUAGAUGCACUUAACGAAAA